GUGCCAAAAACACCCAUAUAUAUGUCUAUAACACGGGAUUAAACUCCCAUAACACCAAAAUAAGUUUACUUUCUCUCAAAAUCACCAAGAACAUUCAUUAGAGUUUCAACCUAAAAAUUCAAAUAUCUCAAGAUUCAACCAUGAGUUUUCAAUAAUUCUUCGAGAUUCGGAAUUCCCAUUCCGAGGGCUACAAGAAACACUCAUUAUUUUCAUGAAUAGAGUC
Molecule: long non-coding RNA, 223 nt
Filed under: Capsicum annuum
Lineage: Eukaryota; Viridiplantae; Streptophyta; Magnoliopsida; Solanales; Solanaceae
Description: long non-coding RNA (CANN_LNC006493)
Source: RNAcentral